CAAGGACAACCGGACAUUUGAGGUCAGUACAACAAGGGCAACCGAGUGUUUGAGGUCAGUACAAGGACAUCAGGGUGUUUGAGGUCAGUACAAGAAGGACAUCAGGGUGUUUGAGGUCAGUACAACAAGGAUAUGAGGGUGUUUGAGGUCAGUACAACAAGGAUAUGAGGGUGUUUGAGGUCAGUACAAGGACAUGAGGGUGUUUGAGGUCAGUGCAACAAGGAUAUGAGGGUGUUUGAGGUCAGUACAACAAGGAUAUGAGGGUGUUUGAGGUCAGUACAACAAGGAUAUGAGGGUGUUUGAGGUCAGUGCAACAAGGACAUAAGGGUGUUUGAGGUCAGUGCAACAAGGAUAUGAGGGUGUUUGAGGUCAGUACAACAAGGAUAUGAGGGUGUUUGAGGUCAGUACAACAAGGAUAUGAGGGUGUUUGAGGUCAGUGCAACAAGGACAUAAGGGUGUUUGAGGUCAGUACAACAAGGAUAUGAGGGUGUUUGAGGUCAGUAACAAGGACAUAAGGGUGUUUGAGGUCAGUACAACAAGGAUAUGAGGGUGUUUGAGGUCAGUGCAACAAGGAUAUGAGGGUGUUUGAGGUCAGUACAAGAAGGACAUAAGGGUGUCUGAGGUCAGUGCAACAAGGACAACUGGGCAUCUCAGGUCAGUACAGCAAUAACAACAUGAUGUAAUGGCUGUAUUGUUGCAGAGUGGAGUGGGUUCUAAGAUCACCAUGGCAACAAGAUACAGUGGCUGCAUUGUUGCAGGGGUCAGUUGGGUCCAAGAUAACCAUGGCAGCAUGGUGUAUUGGCUGUAUUG
This is a long non-coding RNA of Haliotis rubra (blacklip abalone), 810 nucleotides long. RefSeq lists it as uncharacterized. The record is from RefSeq and is a predicted model, not a curated record. Lineage: Eukaryota; Metazoa; Mollusca; Gastropoda; Lepetellida; Haliotidae. The transcript has 3 exons.